UUCCGGUUGAUCCUGCCAGAGGUUACUGCUAUCGAGGUUCGACUAAGCCAUGCGAGUCGAAUGUAGCAAUACAUGGCGUACUGCUCAGUAACACGUGGACAACCUGCCCUUAGGUUGGGUAUAAACCCGGGAAACUGGGUAUAAUCCCCUAUAAGUCUCGGCUGCUGGAAUGCACCGAGAUUAAAAGCUCCGGCGCCUAAGGAUGGGUCUGCGGCCUAUCAGGUAGUAGUGGGUGUAGCGUACCUACUAGCCUACGACGGGUACGGGUUGUGAGAGCAAGAGCCCGGAGAUGGAUUCUGAGACACGAAUCCAGGCCCUACGGGGUGCAGCAGGCGCGAAAACUUUACAAUGCUGGCAACAGCGAUAAGGGAACCUCGAGUGCCAGGUUACAAAUCUGGCUGUCGAGAUGCCUAAAAAGCAUUUCAUAGCAAGGGCCGGGCAAGACCGGUGCCAGCCGCCGCGGUAACACCGGCGGCUCGAGUGGUAACCGUUAUUAUUGGGUCUAAAGGGUCUGUAGCCGGCCGGAUAAGUCUCUUGAGAAAUCUGGCAGCUCAACUGUCAGGCUUUCAGGAGAUACUGUCUGGCUCGAGGCCGGGAGAGGUGAGAGGUACUUCAGGGGUAGGGGUGAAAUCUUGUAAUCCUUGAAGGACCACCAGUGGCGAAGGCGUCUCACCAGAACGGACCUGACGGCAAGGGACGAAAGCUAGGGGCACGAACCGGAUUAGGUACCCGGGUAGUCCUAGCCGUAAACGAUACUCGCUAGGUGUCGGCCACGGUGCGACCGUUGUCGGUGCCGUAGGGAAGCCGUGAAGCGAGCCACCUGGGAAGUACGGCCGCAAGGCUGAAACUUAAAGGAAUUGGCGGGA
RNAcentral lists this ribosomal RNA (866 nucleotides) under uncultured Methanocella sp. RNAcentral's name for it is "bacterial SSU rRNA". It matches the Rfam family "Archaeal small subunit ribosomal RNA", at positions 1 to 873 of the family's 1478-position model. Lineage: Archaea; Methanobacteriati; Methanobacteriota; Methanomicrobia; Methanocellales; Methanocellaceae. The record is from RNAcentral.